Molecule: non-coding RNA, 24 nt
Filed under: Arabidopsis thaliana (thale cress)
Lineage: Eukaryota; Viridiplantae; Streptophyta; Magnoliopsida; Brassicales; Brassicaceae
Source: RNAcentral
CUACUUUUGUAACCAAUUCGAUGC